GACGAACGCUGGCGGCGUGCUUAACACAUGCAAGUCGAACGGAAAGGCCCUGCUUUUGUGGGGUGCUCGAGCGGCGAACGGGUGCGUAACACGUGAGUAACCUGCCCUUGACUUUGGGAUAACUUUAGGAAACUGGGGCUACUACCGGAUCGGAUCUCCUGCUGCAUGGUGGGGGUUGGAAAGUUUCGGCGGUUGGGGAUGGACUCGCGGCUUAUCAGCUUGUUGGUGGGGUAGUGGCUUACCCAGGCUUUGACGGGUAGCCGGCCUGAGAGGGUGACCGGCGACAUGGGGACUGAGAGAGGGCGCAGAGUCGAACGGGAGGCAGCAGGGGGGAAUAUGGCACAAUGGGAGGAAGCCGGAUGCAGCAACGCGGCGUGCGGGAUGACGGCCUGCGGGUUGUAAACAGCUUUAGCCUGUGACGAAGCGUGAGUGACGGUAAUGGGUAAAGAAGCACCGGCUAACUACGUG
RNAcentral lists this ribosomal RNA (468 nucleotides) under uncultured bacterium. RNAcentral describes it as "partial 16S ribosomal RNA". It matches the Rfam family "Bacterial small subunit ribosomal RNA", at positions 28 to 507 of the family's 1533-position model. The record is from RNAcentral.